UCCCACCCAUCCCCCCGGUUCCUACGCCUGUGUUUGUAAUAGUUUGUUUGUGCUCACACAUUUUAAUUCACUUUAAUUAAUUCAGUUUCAUUUAUGUUGCUGUAUAUUUUUAAUUGGAGAAAGAUAAUUAGUUCAAUUGCCUGUCAGUCAAAAGCCUGAUUAGUGGGCGGGGCUAGGAGCUGAGAGAGAGCAAGCACGCCAAGCUGACUCAACACCGCUGGACAGAUUGUUGACCAAAACAUCUCCAAACUGUGGCUACUGGGCAGUUAAACCUCCUGUGUGACGCUUUAAAGCAUCUUAAAUGAGGUCCAUGUUGACAUCAGCCGGCAGACUCCACAGACCUGUAGAGGACCUGAAGGAGAUUUCUACCAGCUCCAUCCAUUCAGCACAUUCCACCUUCUAUUGUAAAAGCAGCUCUCGUGAUGCCGUGUGAUUUUCUGUGAUUUUUGUGGCGACUGCUUUUCGGACUAUUAUCUUCAGUCAGUUUGGAAUUCCUCCAAGACCAGCUUUCCUGAAACUCUCUUCAAGGAGAGAAUUAUCUUUGAUCUUUUAGCACUUUCUGAUGCCGACACGCAGAGGCUGUGCUCCUCUUGAGUUCUCCAAAAUGAUUAAAGCGACUGGCCCUAAACUGCGAGGGCCGAAGCCAAUUUCCUCCUGUGUCAGGCAAAUCCGUGCGAUGGCCAUUGUAUCGUGAUUAAAAAGCUGAAAUGGUUUAUUAAAGACUCUUAAAUAUGUGAAUGUAUCAUAAUAAUGAUGAUUUUUAGGACAUUUCAGUGGUCUCUAGUUUGCAGUGUAGUAAUACUGCCCCCUUUUGAAUGGAGAAACCCUUAGAAAAGGGGGAGCUAAGAAUUUUUGGUUAGUAGAACUUUUUCUGAAUGUUAUAAUUAACAUUUUUUGGAUGUUUUUUCAAACUUUUACUUUAAUGUUUUUAAUUGUUCUGGUAACAUCACUGCAACAUCACUUUAACAGCGUCAAUGCUUUUAGUUUUAGUUUUGUGAAUGUUAAUUUUAACAUUUUCAUAACAUAACAUUAUGUGAGAAAUGUUCUACUAAUGUUGUUAUCUCACACAUUUUCAGAACCUCCCUGGAACAUUAUCUUUGUAAUGUUACAGGUUAAACUUUGUGAAAUAUUUACAAAACGUUUUGCUCAAAUGCUCUUAUAACAUUCUCUACAAGCUGGAAUGGUUCGUAAUGACUCUUGAGUUGAACACAGGUAAAGCUUAUCAAUGUAGCACAUUUACAGAAUGUUGGGAGUCUAUUAAACUUUUUAAAACAUC
Molecule: long non-coding RNA, 1276 nt
Organism: Astyanax mexicanus (Mexican tetra)
Lineage: Eukaryota; Metazoa; Chordata; Actinopteri; Characiformes; Acestrorhamphidae
Exons: 2
Source: RefSeq, a predicted model, not a curated record